AUGGCGACCAGCUCCGGCGGCGGCUAUGGCGGAGAAGGUCUCGACGGCUCCGGCGGCGGUGGUCAUUCUUCCGGUGGCCGCCGCCCGCAAUGCGACCCCGUUGGCAACUUGGGCCCCAACCCCGAUGGCGAUUCGCACUCGACGGCGGAUUGGGGAAAAGCUGUCCUGCCGCCACCGUCGCAGCAUGCGGAGGAGGCAGAGAAGGAUGUUGCGGAUGCGGAGAAGGCGUCGGCGGCGGCUGAUUCGUUGGGGGAGGAAGUACCCCCCGGGCAUCCAUCUCCACCCAGGCCUGAGGAGCCAUGGUCAUUAUAUUUUCAGUUUCCUUCUAAAGAUGCUACCAAAAAUAUGCCCUUGUGA
This 357-nucleotide ribosomal RNA is filed under the name Triticum aestivum (bread wheat). RNAcentral describes it as "partial small subunit ribosomal RNA". The record is from RNAcentral. Lineage: Eukaryota; Viridiplantae; Streptophyta; Magnoliopsida; Poales; Poaceae.